GACGAACGCUGGCGGCGUGCCUAAUACAUGCAGGUUGAGCGCUGAAGGUUGGUACUUGUACCGACUGGAUGAGCAGCGCACGGGUGAGUAACGCGUGGGGAAUCUGCCUUUGAGCGGGGGACAACAUUUGGAAACGAAUGCUAAUACCGCAUAAAAACUUUAAACACAAGUUUUAAGUUUGAAAGAUGCAAUUGCAUCACUCAAAGAUGAUCCCGCGUUGUAUUAGCUAGUUGGUGAGGUAAAGGCUCACCAAGGCGAUGAUACAUAGCCGACCUGAGAGGGUGAUCGGCCACAUUGGGACUGAGACACGGCCCAAACUCCUACGGGAGGCAGCAGUAGGGAAUCUUCGGCAAGAGACGAAAGUCUGACCGAGCAACGCCGCGUGAGUGAAGAAGGUUGUCGGGUCGUAAAACUCUGUUGGUAGAGAAGAACGUUGGUGAGAGUGGAAAGCUCAUCAAGUGACGGUAACUACCCAGAAAGGGACGGCUAACUACGUG
RNAcentral lists this ribosomal RNA (497 nucleotides) under uncultured bacterium. RNAcentral describes it as "partial 16S ribosomal RNA". It matches the Rfam family "Bacterial small subunit ribosomal RNA", at positions 28 to 507 of the family's 1533-position model. The record is from RNAcentral.